Molecule: ribosomal RNA, 295 nt
Filed under: uncultured microorganism
Description: partial 16S ribosomal RNA
Rfam family: Bacterial small subunit ribosomal RNA
Source: RNAcentral
GUGCCAGCAGCCGCGGUAAUACGGAGGGUCCGAGCGUUAAUCGGAAUUACUGGGCGUAAAGCGUGCGCAGGCGGUUUGUUAAGCCAGAUGUGAAAUUCCCCGGGCUCAACCUUGGGAAUUGCAUUUGGAACUGGCGAACUAGAGUCUUGUAGAGGGGGGUAGAAUUUCCAGGUGUAGCGGUGAAAUGCGUAGAGAUCUGGAGGAAUACCGGUGGCGAAGGCGGCCCCCUGGACAAAGACUGACGCUCAUGCACGAAAGCGUGGGGAGCAAACAGGAUUAGAUACCCUGGUAGUCC